UAAGAGUUUUAUUAUAACUACAAAACAUGUAUGUUGUCAUUGUAUUUCUCUUUUAGUAUUGUCUCGAUAUAAAAGUAAGUCAAAGCCAUUUUUAUAGAUGGAAGGUAGAUUCACAAAUUACGCAGUUACUCCCCUUUGAUAUAAUUAAGCCAUGAAAUCAUCUGAAAGUUUCCAAUGUCAUUGAAGAACACACGAAGUUUACCGACGAAUUUGCACAGAUUUUUAGAGUAGAUUGUACCAGAAGGCAAUGAUUGAGGAUAGCUAUUCAUACUGAUAAUUAAUCUGACAAGUGGCUGUAGAGUCCCAAUGCACCACCAUGUUGACAUGGUACGUGCCAUAAAUGCAUUAUAAUUUAUUCUCAUCUGUUUAGAAGACACUUCAUUUGGCUUAGUCAGAAUGGGACCUUAAAUGAAGAUGCAUUAUUGUACCGUAUAUGAAACAACACAAGAAUGAUCCAGAAGAAGUAAAACUACUCUGCACAUACUCCACUACUGAGCCCUGCCUUACAGGCCUUGUUCCCAAGCUAAUGCCAGCUGAGCUGUGGAUACACCAGUAAGUUUGAACAUAAAAUGUGUAAUUCAACCAUUG
Ruditapes philippinarum (Manila clam) is the source of this 588-nucleotide long non-coding RNA. RefSeq lists it as uncharacterized. The record is from RefSeq and is a predicted model, not a curated record. Lineage: Eukaryota; Metazoa; Mollusca; Bivalvia; Venerida; Veneridae. The transcript is spliced from 4 exons.